CCAAUAGCGUAUAUUAAAGUUGUUGCAGUUAAAAAGCUCGUAGUUGAAUUUCGGGAUCAAUAUGUCGGUCGUGCCUCGGUACGUACUGGCAUUGUUGGUUUCUACCUUCUGAAGAACCGCGAUGUCAUAUAUUUGGUGUCGUGGGGAAUCAGGACUGUUACUUUGAAAAAAUUAGAGUGUUUAAAGCAGGCUCACGCUUGAAUACAUUAGCAUGGAAUAAUGAAAUAGGACGUUUGAUUCUAUUUUGUUGGUUUCUAGGAUAGACGUAAUGAUUAAUAGGGAUAGUUGGGGGCAUUAGUAUUCAAUUGUCAGAGGUGAAAUUCUUGGAUUUAUUGAAGACUAACUACUGCGAAAGCAUUUGCCAAGGAUGUUUUCAUUAAUCAAGAACGAAAGUUAGGGGAUCGAAGACGAUCAGAUACCGUCGUAGUCUUAACCAUAAACUAUGCCGACUAGGGAUCGGAUGAUGUUAAUUUUUUAAUGACUCAUUCGGCGCCUUACG
Molecule: ribosomal RNA, 499 nt
Filed under: uncultured Glomeromycotina
Lineage: Eukaryota; Fungi; Glomeromycota
Description: partial small subunit ribosomal RNA
Rfam family: Eukaryotic small subunit ribosomal RNA
Source: RNAcentral